UAAGGCUGCCCCUUGGUAGACUUGUGCCAAGCAUGAGGAUGGCCCAGGUCUCCAUGCUACCUUCCCCUGAGAGCCUCUGCCUCUGUGGAUAAGCCUUCUGAAGCACUGGGCGCCUCAGGCUGCCUGCUGCCUGCUGACGAUUCUACUGAAGGCUCCUACAGCAAAAGAAGUACUAAGAGGAAAGUUUAUAGUGAUAAGCACCUACAUAACAAAAAACUUCAAAUAAACAACCUAAUGAGGCAUCUUAAGGAAUGAGAAAAGAGCAAACUGAAUACAAAAUUAGUAGAAGAAAAGAAAUAAUAAAGUUCACAGCAAAAAUAAAUGAAGAAAACAAUACAAAAGAUCAAUAAAAUAAAAAUUUGUUUUUUUGAACAGAUGAACAACAUUGACAAACCUUCAGGCAGACUAAGAAAAAAAAGAGCAAAAAACCCAAAUAAAUAAAAUUAGAGAUGAAAGAGGAGACAUUGCAGCUGAUUUCACAGAAAUUCAAAGUAUCAUUACAGGCUGCUAUGAACAACUAUAUGCCAAUAAAUGGGAAAACCUGGAAGAAAUGGAUAAAUUUCUAGAAAAAUACAACCUACCAAGAUUGAACCAUGAAGAAAUCCAAAACCUGAACAGAUCAAUAACAAGUAAUAAGAUCGAAGCUGUAAUAAAAAGUCUCCCAGAAAAGCAAAGCCUAGGAUUCAAUGGCAUCACUGCUGAAUUUUAUCAGACAUUAAAAAAGAGCUAAACCCUAUUCAAAUUAUUCCAAAAAACUUAUUCUACAAGGCGAGUAUUACACUAAUACCAAAACCAGACAAAGAUGCAUAAAAAAAGAAAACAAUAUGCCAAUAUCCCUUAUGAACAUUGAUGCAAAAAUCCUCAACAAAAUACUAGUAAACCAAAUUUAACAGUACAAUAAAAUGAUCAUUCAUCAUGACCAAGUUGGAUUUAUCCCUGGGAUGUAAGAAUGGCUCAACAUAUGCAAAUCAAUCAAUGUCAUACGUCAUAGCAAUGAAGGACAAAAACCAUAUGAUCAUUUCAAUUGAUGCUGAACAAGCACUUAACAAAAUUCAACAUUUAUUCAUGAUAAAACCCUAAAAAAAUUGGAUCUAGAAGGAACAUACCUUAGCACAAUAAAAGCCAUUUACAACAGACUCAUAGCUAGUAUAAUACUGAAUGAGGAAAAACUAAAAGCUUUUCCUUUAAGAUCGAGAACAUGACAAGGAUGCCCACUUUCACCACUGUUAUUUAAUGUAGUACUGGAAGUCCUAGCUGGACCAACCAGACAAGAGCAAGAAAUAAAGGAAAUCCAAAUUGGAAAGGAAGAAGUCAAAUUAUCUUUGUUUGCAGAUGCUAUGAUCUUAUAUUUGGAAAAGCCUAGAGAUUCCACAAGAGAACUAUUAGAACUGAUAGACAAAUUCAGUAAAUUUGAAGGAUACAAAAUCAACAUACGAAAAUCAGUAGCAUUUCCAUAUGACAACAGUGAAUCUGAAAAAGAAAUCAGGAAAUUAAUCAUAUUUACAAUAGCCAAAAACAAAAUAAAAUACCUAAAAAUUAACCAAAGAAGUCAAAGAUGUCCACAAUGAAAAAUAUAAAACACUGAUGCAAAAUUUGAAGAGAAUAUAAAAAAAUGAAAAGAUAUUCCAUGUUAAUGGAUUGGAACAAUCAAUAUUGUUAAAAUAUUCAUACUACCUAAAACAAUCUAUAGAUUAAAUGCAACCCCUAUGAAAAUACCAAUAACACUCUUCACAGAAAUAGAGAAAAACAAUCCUAAAAUGUAUAUGGAACCAUAAAAAACCCAGAAUAGCCAAAGCUAUCCUCAGCAAAAAGAACAAAACUGAAGGAAUCACAUUAUCUGACUUCAAAUUAUACUACAGAGCUAUAGCAACCAAAACAGCAUGGUACAGUCAUAAAAACAGACACAUAGGCCAAUGAAACAGUAUAGAGAACCCAGAAACAAAUCCAUACAUCUACAGUAGACUCAUUUUCAACAAAGCCAAAUAUAUACAUUGGAGAAAGGAUAGUCUCUUCAAUAAAUGGUGCUGGGAAAACUGGAUAUCCUUAUGCGGAAGAAUAAAACUAGACUCCUAUUUCUCAUCACACACAGGAAUCAAAUCAAAAUGGACCAAAGAUUUAAAUAUAAGACCUUAAACUGUGAAACUACUCAAAGAAAACCCUGAGGAAACUACCCAGGACAUUGGUCUGGGUAAAGAUUUCUUGAGUAAUACUCCACAAGCACAGGCAGCCAAAGCAAGAAUGGACAAAUGGGAUCACAUCAACUUGAAAAGCAUCUGCACAGCAAAGGUAACCAUCCACAAAAUGAAGAGUCAACCCAAAGAAUGGAAGAAAAUAUUCACAAACUAUCCAUCUGACAAGGGAUUAAUAGCCAGAAUAUAUAAGGAGCUCAAAUGACUUUAUAGGAAAAAACCUAAUAAUCAGAUUUUAAAAUGAGCAAAUAUCUGAAUAAACAUAUCUCACAAGAAGAUAUACAAAUGGCAACAGGUAUAUGAAAAGGUGCUCAACAUCAUAGAUCAUCAGAAAAAUGCAAAUCAAACUACAAUGAGAUAUCACCUUACUCCAGGUAAAAUGGGUUAUAUCCAAAAGACAGGCAACAACAAAUGCCAAAGAGGAUGUGGAGAAAAGGGAACCCUUGCACACUAUGGAAUGGAAAUUAGUACAGUCACGAUGGAGAACAGUUUGGAGGUUCCUCAAAAAACUAAAAAUAGAGCUACCAUAUGAUCCAGCAAUCCCACUGGUAAGUAUAUACCCAAAAGAAGGGAAAUCAAUAUAUUGAAGAAGUAUCUGCUCUCCAGUGUUUAUUGCAGAAUGAUUCACAAUAGCCAAGAUCUGGAAGCAACCUAAGUGUCCAUCAACGGAUGAAUGGAUAAAGAAAAUGUGGUACACAUUCCAUAAAAAAGAAUGAGAUCCUGUCAUUUGCAACAACAAGUAUGGAGCUGGAGGACAUUAUGUUAAGUGAAGUAAGUCAGGCACAGAAAGACAAACUUGGCGUGUUCUCACUUAUUUGUGGGAGCUAAAAAUUCAAACAAACUCAUGGAGGUAGAGAGUAGAACAAUGGUUACUAGAGGCUGGGAAGGGUAGCAGGUUAGUGAGGAGUAAGGAGGGAAUGGUUAAUGGGUACAAAAAUAUAGUUAGAAUGAAUAAGAUCUAGUAUUUGAUAGCACAACAGGGUGACUAUAGUCAACAAUAAUUUAGUGUACAUUUGAAAAUAGCUCAAAGAGUAUAAUUGGAUUGUUUGUAAUACAAAGAAAGGAUAAAUGCUUGAGGCAAUGGAUCCUCCAUUUACCCUGAUGUGAUUAUUAUUUGUUGUAUGCCUGUGUCAAAAUAUCUCAUGUACCCUAUAAAUAUAUGUACCUACUGCGUACCCACAAAAAUUAAAGAUUAAAAAAAGAUUAAUUAUAACAAGAGAUUGCCUACUAAGAGGCAAAGAGAACUCCAAGGAAUAUAGUAAUAGCAGAUAUAAGGAACAGCUACUACCGCUAGGACUGAGGCAGAACACCCAAGGAGAGGAAAUCCCCACAGUCAUCAAAGUCCACUUUCAACCCCCCACCUGCAUCCCCAGGCUGAGAUCCAGACCUCAUUGGAGAGGGUGUGGGCGUGGCCUGUUGAAUACAAGAUACACAAUGCCAGAUGGCACUCUGGCAAAAGUUACUGAGAGGCCCCUUUAUGGAGCUGGGGGAGGCUCUCUGUGGGGAGGUACUGUACUGGUGAUAUCUGCUGGGAGGCUAUACUCUGGUGGACAUGAGGAAGUCAUUCCCAGGGAGAUGCCACACUAUGGAGCUUACUCUAAAGCUGCCCAUGGAGGUAGUGUACUGAGAAGUGGCUCUGGUUUAUCAGGAGGUGAUGCCACUGAAACUUGCUGAGGGUGAGCACUGGGGCUCCCACCUGUCCCUGGCCACUGGAUGCUAGAGGUGCAAGCCCAGAAGAAGCCUAUUGGAUUCUUCCUCCCCUCCCCUCCCUUCCCAUCUCUUCCUCCCUCCCUUUCCCCUCUUCUUCCUCCCUCUCCCCCUCUCCUCUCCCCUCCCCCUCUCCUCUCCCCUCCCUCUCUUCCCAUCCUUCCUCCUCUUCCCUUCCUUUCCCUUCCCCUCUUCCUUUCCCUUCCCCUCUUCCUUUCCCUUCCUCUCUUCCUUUCCCUUCCCCUCUUCCUUUUCCUUCCCUUCCUUCAGCUCCCCCUCUCUCUGACUCUUCCUUUCUCUCUCUCUCUCCCUGACUCCUCUAUACCCCUUUAACCAAAGUCAGUUUCUUUAGAAGACUCAGGACACUUCUUGUGUGUCUGGGCAUGGCAAUUUGUUCAUCAGUUUCCUAUGAGCAUAUUAAAACACUAAUUAUAACUAUGAAAAUGUACAGUUGGUGUAUAGUUAGCUCUUACACCAUAUCAGCUGAUGGGAAGUAAGACUGAAAAAAAAAUAGAAUAAUGUCUUUCAUUAGGAGAUUAGAUUGUGCUGUGUGCAUUUUGUAUCAUGUUUUCUUCUUUGCUCUUACAUAUAAAAAGCAGUGUUUCUACAUAAGAUUUGCAUGAGUGAAAAGAACACAAGGUUAGGAGAUAUCAUCCUGGUUGUGUCCCCAAGUGGUAUGGUGACCCUAAGCAAAUAACACUUUCUUUGAUUUCAGUUUUCUCAUCUUUCAAAUAGGAAUAACAUUUAUUCAUUCACGUACUUGUUAAUCCUGUCUGUAAACAUUUUUUAGGUUGCUUAUUUUGUGUCGGCCGCUGUGCUAGCACUGGAGAUUUGUAGCUUACUAAGUCAUUACCUGUCUCCUUAGGGAGCCACCUUGUAGUCCUAAAAAUAAAAUACAAUGCCCCAUUUUAGAGAGUUCUCAUAAAAAUCAAAUGAGAUGAUGGAUUAUAGGUACUUGAAAAAGAUUAAAAAAUCACUCUUCAAAUGUAAGAGGUUGUACUGAUAUUAAUAUCACAGUCAUCACAACCGCAGAAUGGCAAUUAACUUAUUGUGUUUUUUAUUUCAUUGACAUUAGGGCUAAGAGGAGGAUUGUAAGUGAUUCAGGUAAGGACCAGAACAUCUAUAUUCCCAAAGAAUGUUUCCCAUAAAUUAACAGUCAUUAAAAUUAACCUGUGAAGUUAAUUAUGGUAUGUGACACAGAUGGCUUUAAGCUUUAUGCAGUUAUGUUCUUGACCAGAUGAGGUCUUCCUUUUAUUAGUUUAUGAGUCACAGGGCAAGUGUGAUGGUGUGCUAGGAAUGCUUAAUCAGGAUCAGGAGCUAGAGUUACUUCUGGCCUUGGGGGGAAAAAGAAAACCUUUUCGGCAUAUUCAUUUUUGUUUUUUAUUGUGAAUAAAGCACCCUUUAUUGCUGCUCAGGGUGCAAUAAACCUCUCAAAUCCUUGGGCCCUGGAUCUUGUGUGACCUGCCCUUUCAUCUCUGAUGCUUUCGCUUCUGGAGUUUUGACAAUGUCGGAUCUCCUUCAUGCGCUCUUGCUCCUCUUUGCUCUCUCUCUUUUCCUUUAUCAAGGUCUCACCAGCUCUCUGGGAGGAGGAUUGCAUCAUCCCAACCACAGACUACCCGGAGCUUUGGGUGCUCUGUAGCUGCUCAUGUCCUUUCCAGUCCCUUCAACCAAGGAGAAGAAUGACAGAUUGCUGGCUGAGAGUAUCCAGAGUGGCUGUUAGCUAAUGAUUGCUAUAAAUUCUGAUAAUAAUAAUAGCAAUCAUAAAUAAUAUAAAACAGUGGCAUUGCAGCAGCUGGUAUUCAUGCUGCUCAGACUCUUAUUUAAAGAAUUUAAACUUUUUUUUUGGAGGAGACUUACAAGAAUCUUGGGUCACAUGGUACCACUUGGCCACAAGGACUUGACAAGUAGUAAUGAGCAGGGUUUCUUGAAGGCAGACAGAAAGAUAGGGACAGCUGUCCUGGAGAGUCACCCAUCCUGCAUCAGAACCGAAUAAGUGAGAAAUAAACCUUUAUUGUGUUAGGCCACGGAGGUUUUGGGUUUUGUUUGGUACAUUAGUGUAGCAUGACCUAUCUGUACUACAGUCACUCACAUCGCUGCUGUUAUGUAUUUUUUUAAAUAAGCUUAGCACUGGAGACCCCAUGGCUGGGUUAACUCUAGUUAAAAAUAUUUGUUACGGCCGGGCGCAGUGGCUCACGCCUGUA
This 6097-nucleotide long non-coding RNA is filed under the name Homo sapiens (human). RNAcentral's name for it is "HSALNT0135003". Lineage: Eukaryota; Metazoa; Chordata; Mammalia; Primates; Hominidae. The record is from RNAcentral.